ACUGUUUCUUGGGAUUUGGGCUUUUCUUGUGCAGAUUAAGUAGAAGACAAAGAAGGCCUCCUUCUUGGGGGGCUAGAGCCAUUAGUGAGAUACCAUUCUGGAAGAACUAGAAUUCUAACAUUGUGUUAGGACCUAUAGUUUGAAGGGGACAAUCUCAGGUAUAUAGUUUCUAUGGGACAUAGGCCUCCCAAAAGGUAAUGGAGGUGUACAAAGGUUUCCUCAAAGCAAACGAAUAUUAGCCCUUGAUAAUUGCUAAAUAAGAACUAUUUUUUAUAAUAAAAAUAUAUUGAACAUAUCUUUAAAAAUAUUUAUUUAGUAGUUAUUUUUGGCUUAAAUGUUAGGAAUUG
Molecule: non-coding RNA, 347 nt
Organism: Glycine max (soybean)
Lineage: Eukaryota; Viridiplantae; Streptophyta; Magnoliopsida; Fabales; Fabaceae
Source: Rfam